This 642-nucleotide ribosomal RNA is filed under the name uncultured Cryptosporangium sp. RNAcentral describes it as "bacterial SSU rRNA". It matches the Rfam family "Bacterial small subunit ribosomal RNA", at positions 232 to 885 of the family's 1533-position model. Lineage: Bacteria; Bacillati; Actinomycetota; Actinomycetes; Cryptosporangiales; Cryptosporangiaceae. The record is from RNAcentral.
CGCGGCCUAUCAGCUUGUUGGUGGGGUAACGGCCCACCAAGGCAACGACGGGUAGCCGGCCUGAGAGGGCGACCGGCCACACUGGGACUGAGACACGGCCCAGACUCCUACGGGAGGCAGCAGUGGGGAAUAUUGCGCAAUGGGCGAAAGCCUGACGCAGCAACGCCGCGUGAGGGACGACGGCCUUCGGGUUGUAAACCUCUUUCAGCAGUGACGAAGCGAGAGUGACGGUAGCUGCAGAAGAAGGACCGGCCAACUACGUGCCAGCAGCCGCGGUAAUACGUAGGGUCCAAGCGUUGUCCGGAAUUAUUGGGCGUAAAGAGCUCGUAGGCGGUCUGUCGCGUCGGCUGUGCAAACCCGGGGCUCAACUCCGGGCCUGCAGUCGAUACGGGCAGACUAGAGUGCGGCAGGGGAGACUGGAAUUCCUGGUGUAGCGGUGAAAUGCGCAGAUAUCAGGAGGAACACCGGUGGCGAAGGCGGGUCUCUGGGCCGUAACUGACGCUGAGGAGCGAAAGCGUGGGAGCAAACAGGAUUAGAUACCCUGGUAGUCCACGCCGUAAACGGUGGGCGCUAGGUGUGGGGCGUUGUUUACACGUUCCGCGCCGCAGCUAACGCAUUAAGCGCCCCGCCUGGGGAGUACGG